Molecule: non-coding RNA, 31 nt
Filed under: Mus musculus (house mouse)
Lineage: Eukaryota; Metazoa; Chordata; Mammalia; Rodentia; Muridae
Source: RNAcentral
UAAAAUGGACCAGGUGUGAGCAGUGCUCAGA